AGGUCGCCGGUGCCCUACCGUGAGAGCCCGAUGGCGUAUGAGCCGGAGAAGCUCUGCUGGUGCAGGCCGCGUAGGAAGGCGCCGAGAUGGAUCUCAUGGAACCGCCAGAACCCAGGCAGGCGGUACUACGCCUGCGUGGAUGCCAUGGUAAGUUUCAUUUUAGUUAUACUUUUCUGUUCAUUAGAUCUUCUCCCCUCUCAAACCCUGAUUUCUGUUGGUACAGCAUGGUGGUUGUGGCUUCCUUGA
Molecule: ribosomal RNA, 246 nt
Filed under: Triticum aestivum (bread wheat)
Lineage: Eukaryota; Viridiplantae; Streptophyta; Magnoliopsida; Poales; Poaceae
Description: partial small subunit ribosomal RNA
Source: RNAcentral